GAUGAACGCUGGCGGCGUGCCUAACACAUGCAAGUCGAGCGAACAGACGAGGCUCGCUCCCCUCUUACGCUACCGGCGGGCGAGUGAUUCACACGUGGCUACCCUACCUUUAGGACUGGGAUAACUACGGUAAACCUAAUCCAAUACCCGACCAUAUCUUGAACCUCAUGGUUCGUCAGACAACGACGGAUUUGCUGCGCCUUAUAGACAUUUCCGAGCCGCAUUAGCUAAUUGGUAAGGCAACGGCUUACCAAGGCAACGAUGCGUAGCCGACCUGAGAGGGUGAUCAGCCACACUGGAACUGAGACACGGUACAGACUCCUACGGGAGGCAGCAGUGGGGAAUAUUGCGCAAUGGGCGAAAGCCUGACGGAGCAACGCCGCGUGAGUGACGAAGGUCUUCGGAUCGUAAAACACUGUAAUUAGGGAAGAACGGAUGUGUAAUUAAAUCUGAACGUCUUGACGGUACCAAAACAGAAAGCAACGGCUAACUACGUG
Molecule: ribosomal RNA, 497 nt
Filed under: uncultured bacterium
Lineage: Bacteria
Description: partial 16S ribosomal RNA
Rfam family: Bacterial small subunit ribosomal RNA
Source: RNAcentral